This 497-nucleotide ribosomal RNA is filed under the name uncultured bacterium. Its description in RNAcentral is "partial 16S ribosomal RNA". It matches the Rfam family "Bacterial small subunit ribosomal RNA", at positions 28 to 507 of the family's 1533-position model. The record is from RNAcentral.
GAUGAACGCUGGCGGCGUGCCUAAUACAUGCCAGUCGAGCGAACGGACGAGAAGCUUGCUUCUCUGAUGUUAGCGGCGGACGGGUGAGUAACACGUGGAUAACCUACCUAUAAGACUGGGAUAACUUCGGGAAACCGGAGCUAAUACCGGAUAAUAUUUUGAACCGCAUGGUUCAAAAGUGAAAGACGGUCUUGCUGUCACUUAUAGAUGGAUCCUCGCUGCAUUAGCUAGUUGGUAAGGUAACGGCUUACCAAGGCAACGAUGCAUAGCCGACCUGAGAGGGUGAUCGGCCACACUGGAACUGAGACACGGUCCAGACUCCUACGGGAGGCAGCAGUAGGGAAUCUUCCGCAAUGGGCGAAAGCCUGACGGAGCAACGCCGCGUGAGUGAUGAAGGUCUUCGGAUCGUAAAACUCUGUUAUUAGGGAAGAACAUAUGUGUAAGUAACUGUGCACAUCUUGACGGUACCUAAUCAGAAAGCCACGGCUAACUACGUG